RNAcentral lists this ribosomal RNA (273 nucleotides) under uncultured bacterium. Its description in RNAcentral is "partial 16S ribosomal RNA". It matches the Rfam family "Bacterial small subunit ribosomal RNA", at positions 524 to 796 of the family's 1533-position model. The record is from RNAcentral.
UACAGAGGUCUCAAGCGUUGUUCGGAAUCACUGGGCGUAAAGGGUGCGUAGGCGGCGUGGAAAGUCAGAUGUGAAAUCCGGGGGCUCAACCUCCGAAUUGCAUCCGAUACUACCAUGCUAGAGAACUGGAGGGGAGUCUGGAAUUCUUGGUGUAGCAGUGAAAUGCAUAGAUAUCAAGAGGAACACUAGUGGCGAAGGCGAGACUCUGGACAGUAUCUGACGCUCAUGCACGAAGGUCAGGGUAGCGAACGGGAUUAGAAACCCUAGUAGUCC